Molecule: ribosomal RNA, 253 nt
Filed under: uncultured bacterium
Lineage: Bacteria
Description: partial 16S ribosomal RNA
Rfam family: Bacterial small subunit ribosomal RNA
Source: RNAcentral
UACAGAGGGUGCAAGCGUUGUUCGGAAUCACUGGGCGUAAAGCGCGUGUAGGCGGUUUCCUAAGUCAGGUGGGAAAUCCCCCGGCUUAACCGGGGAAGUGCGCCUGAAACUGGGAGGCUUGAGUAUCGGAGAGGAAAGGGGAAUUCCCGGUGUAGAGGUGAAAUUCGUAGAUAUCGGGAGGAACACCGGCGGCGAAGGCGCCUUUCUGGUCGAUCACUGACGCUGAGACGCGAAAGCGUGGGGAGCAAACAGG